AUCUUCGGGGCAGGGCGAAAUUCCCUACCGGCGGUUAUAGCCCGCGAGCUACAUUGUAGCAUGAUUUGGUGAGAUUCCAAAGCCGACAGUACAGUCUGGAUGAGAGAAGAG
RNAcentral lists this non-coding RNA (111 nucleotides) under Terrisporobacter glycolicus. Its description in RNAcentral is "FMN riboswitch (RFN element)". It matches the Rfam family "FMN riboswitch aptamer (RFN element)". From Rfam's summary of the family: The RFN element is a highly conserved domain that is found frequently in the 5'-untranslated regions of prokaryotic mRNAs that encode for flavin mononucleotide (FMN) biosynthesis and transport proteins. This element is a metabolite-dependent riboswitch that directly binds FMN in the absence of proteins. Lineage: Bacteria; Bacillati; Bacillota; Clostridia; Peptostreptococcales; Peptostreptococcaceae. The record is from RNAcentral.